Molecule: long non-coding RNA, 2305 nt
Filed under: Homo sapiens (human)
Lineage: Eukaryota; Metazoa; Chordata; Mammalia; Primates; Hominidae
Description: long non-coding RNA NONHSAT080930.2
Source: RNAcentral
UGUCUUUUCCCUCCACGCCUCCUGAGAUGGACGUGCUCACCUGGGCCUCGGAAAUCCCACACUCUUCAGUCGGCAAACUGCGAACAAGAACAGGAAAUCUGCCACGCAGCAAACACUUGGGGAGGUCAGUGGGACACUGUUGGUUUUAGGGAAGAAAAUGCCCCUGUAGCUCCGGCGGGGAACCCCAAAACGGUCAGCAAAGGCAGGCCACACGGAGUGAGCCGGCCAGAUGGAGCAGGACAUCCUGAGUGUGGAGGGGGAGGCGGGCCUGGGUCCUGGGCAGGGUGGCCUGAGAGCAGGGACUGGUACAAAACCCAGAGACAUUGGUGGGUAGCAAAGGUCUGGUUUCCAAAUGCAUUUUGUAAGAAAGUCAGUCUGUUUAGAAAAAGGGUUUAAAAAUCAGGGGAAAGGUACAAAGUUCUGAGAAUUCUCAAAGAGGCCGGGGUGGGGCUGGCCUGGGGUGAGGGCUGGAGGGCUCCGCUGCAGCUCCCUGGUAGCCAUGCUCUCCCCCUGGGGGACUCGUGCCAGAGCCACCCACCUUGCUCGGUAAGAGUGGGCAGGGCUCACCGCUGAGGGGCCAGCGCUUGGCCCGGCUCCUAUCCCCACACUCCGUGUGCAGAAAAAUCUUGGCCUCUUUCUCCAGCUUUGAGGAGCCCACAGCCUCCGAGCUGAGGGGUGUGUGUGAUGACAGCUCCAGCCAGGGCACCCUGUCAUUGGUAGAACCGGGGGCCAAUGUCAAAAAACAAAAGCCGUGACUCCUGCGCUGUACCUGGAGUCCUCCAUGUACUCCUCCACAGGACCCCCGGCCAGCCCCAGCCCUCCCCGAGCAGCAGCGGUCAGGGAAGCUGGUGCUCUACCUGACAAUGUGGGGAAAAGCCUGGUAUACAGGCUAGAAAAAGAGAGUAAAAACUCUUUCCACGCAGCCCUGAAGCUCAGCACUCCGGGGGGUCUUCACACGGGCAGGUCCUGGAGGGAAGGAGGAGGCCACCGCGCCCACCUCCCAUCUGAAGGCACAGCACCGCAGUGGUGGCCUGUGCCAGAGGAGGGGGUGAAGGAUGGAAUGUCCUCAUGGAAAAGAAAGAACAUGUGAGUGCUUCUGAAAACACAGCAAGAGGACUUGAGCACAAGCUAAAGGAAAAACAACCCUAUAUAGUUUCUUCGAGUGAGAAAAAUAAUGCCAAACAAAAUAAUUUUAUGUAACUACCUCGAUAUGUCUCUGACUACUUAAAAAUUUGGUUACCCACGCGGGGAGGUGUAAGCAGCACACUGCAGUUAGGAACACCGCCUCCAGUGUUAGCAGCAAAGGCAGGAGCCCAGCUCCAGCCCGUCCAGGAGGGGUCAGCAGGAGCGGCCGGGCUGGGCCAUGGGCAGAACAGGACGGGCAGAGCCCGGGGUGGACGUGGCAGCCCAAGGCUCUCCGAGGAAGUGCACACGACUGAGCCGAGGCCCUUGCAGAGGGAACCUGGUGUGGCCUGAAGUGGUGGGGGGCACAGGGCUGAGGGUCCCCUCCUGGAAGGAGCCCCCAGGGCUGUGUCCACCUAAGAUAGCACCUGGAGCCCUCGGCCUCCAGCAGGGUCUGCAGCUGUGUUGUGUGUUAAGCACCAAAGCCCAGAGGUAAGACGGUGGCAGGGCUCUCUGUGCACCUGGAUUCUACAGGCUGCCAUGGGCCACGGCUGCACCACGGGCCACGGCUGCAGCCACAGGCAGUGACCUGGCUGCUAGGGGAGGGGAGGGCGGGCUCCAGCCGGGCUGACCGGGUGUCUGUAAAACUCUGCACCUGCUCAGGCCAGGGGCCUCUGGGCCGAACACACCACCCCGCCCAGUGCCCACUGGACCCGGCCACAGGCCCAUCACGUGUCCAAGCCAGGCUGGCCAUCACAGGGGCCACUCACACACCCGCACCACCUGCUGGGGACUUAGGACCGUGCUCUCCCUUCACUCAAACCCACCCUGUGCCCUCCCCCAACUCACUUCAUGUCUGGUCCCAGAGCACCCCUCUUGCUGGGGUCGCACCUGCUUAGCCCGCAGGGCUGGUUUCCGUGGGGGGUGGGUUCAGGGGGAAGCAGAGGAGGGGCCGCGAGAGGGGUGAGCGUGGCCCUGGCCCCGCAGUGGAGACCCACCGGACACACACACGGGUGGACGGAGCGAGGCAGCCACCGACCCUGCCGGCGGGCGGGCCUAGGAGAGCCAGGCGAAGUCCUUGUCAGGGCCUCCUGGGGGGCUGCGCGGCCGCGGCGAGUCUUCCUCAUCCUUGUCGUCCGCCAACAGCGCAUCCUCAGGGGCCAGGCCCUCGUCGUCCUCGCCC